RNAcentral lists this ribosomal RNA (482 nucleotides) under uncultured bacterium. RNAcentral's name for it is "bacterial SSU rRNA". It matches the Rfam family "Bacterial small subunit ribosomal RNA", at positions 30 to 506 of the family's 1533-position model. The record is from RNAcentral.
UUGAACGCUGGCGGCAUGCUUUACACAUGCAAGUCGAACGGUAACAGGGAGCUUGCUCCGCUGACGAGUGGCGAACGGGUGAGUAAUGCAUCGGUACGUACCCAGUCGUGGGGGAUAACGUAGCGAAAGUUACGCUAAUACCGCAUACGUCCUGAGGGAGAAAGCGGGGGACCGUAAGGCCUCGCGCGAUUGGAGCGGCCGAUGUCGGAUUAGCUAGUUGGUGGGGUAAAGGCCUACCAAGGCGACGAUCCGUAGCGGGUCUGAGAGGAUGAUCCGCCACACUGGGACUGAGACACGGCCCAGACUCCUACGGGAGGCAGCAGUGGGGAAUUUUGGACAAUGGGGGCAACCCUGAUCCAGCCAUGCCGCGUGAGUGAAGAAGGCCUUCGGGUUGUAAAGCUCUUUCAGACGGAAAGAAAACGCAUCGGUGAAUACCCGGUGUGGAUGACGGUACUGUCAGAAGAAGCACCGGCUAACUACGU